Molecule: transfer RNA, 71 nt
Filed under: Heterocephalus glaber (naked mole-rat)
Lineage: Eukaryota; Metazoa; Chordata; Mammalia; Rodentia; Bathyergidae
Rfam family: tRNA
About the family: Transfer RNA (tRNA) molecules are approximately 80 nucleotides in length.
Source: Rfam by way of RNAcentral
AGCAAUGGAGCUCAGUGGUAGAGCGACUGCCUGCUAUGCAUGAGGCCCUCGGUUCAGCCCCAGUACUGCUA